GAUUAAGUUAUUAAGGGCGCACGGUGGAUGCCUUGGCACUAGAAGCCGACGAAGGACGUUACUAACGACGAUAUGCUUUGGGUAGCUGUAAGUAAGCGUUGAUCCAGAGAUUUCCGAAUGGGGGAACCCAGCACGAGUUAUGUUGUGUUAUCGACAAGUGAAUUCAUAGCUUGUCAGAAGGCAGACCCGGAGAACUGAAACAUCUUAGUACCCGGAGGAAGAGAAAGAAAAAUCGAUUCCCUGAGUAGCGGCGAGCGAAACGGGAAGAGCCCAAACCAAUAAGCUUGCUUAUUGGGGUUGUAGGACACUCUAUACGGAGUUACAAAGGAAUAUAUUAGACGAAUCAUCUGGAAAGUUGAAUCAAAGAAGGUAAUAAUCCUGUAGUUGAAAAUAUAUUCUCUCUUGAGUGGAUCCUGAGUACGACGGAGCACGUGAAAUUCCGUCGGAAUCUGGGAGGACCAUCUCCUAAGGCUAAAUACUCUCUAGUGACCGAUAGUGAACCAGUACCGUGAGGGAAAGGUGAAAAGUACCCCGGAAGGGGAGUGAAAGAGAACUUGAAACCGUGUGCUUACAAGUAGUCAGAGCCCGUUAAUGGGUGAUGGCGUGCCUUUUGUAGAAUGAACCGGCGAGUUACGAUCUGAUGCAAGGUUAAGCAGGAGAUGUGGAGCCGUAGCGAAAGCGAGUCUGAAUAGGGCGUUGAGUAUUUGGUCGUAGACCCGAAACCAGGUGAUCUACCCAUGGUCAGGUUGAAGUUCAGGUAACACUGAAUGGAGGACCGAACCGACUUACGUUGAAAAGUGAGCGGAUGAACUGUGGGUAGCGGAGAAAUUCCAAUCGAACUUGGAGAUAGCUGGUUCUCUCCGAAAUAGCUUUAGGGCUAGCCUCAAGUGAUGAUUAUUGGAGGUAGAGCACUGUUUGGACGAGGGGCCCCUCUCGGGUUACCGAAUUCAGACAAACUCCGAAUGCCAAUUAAUUUAACUUGGGAGUCAGAACAUGGGUGAUAAGGUCCGUGUUCGAAAGGGAAACAGCCCAGACCACCAGCUAAGGUCCCAAAAUAUAUGUUAAGUGGAAAAGGAUGUGGCGUUGCCCAGACAACUAGGAUGUUGGCUUAGAAGCAGCCAUCAUUUAAAGAGUGCGUAAUAGCUCACUAGUCGAGUGACACUGCGCCGAAAAUGUACCGGGGCUAAACAUAUUACCGAAGCUGUGGAUUGUCCGUAGGACAAUGGUAGGAGAGCGUUCUAAGGGCGUUGAAGCAUGAUCGCAAGGACAUGUGGAGCGCUUAGAAGUGAGAAUGCCGGUGUGAGUAGCGAAAGACGGGUGAGAAUCCCGUCCACCGAUUGACUAAGGUUUCCAGAGGAAGGCUCGUCCGCUCUGGGUUAGUCGGGUCCUAAGCUGAGGCCGACAGGCGUAGGCGAUGGAUAACAGGUUGAUAUUCCUGUACCACCUAGCAUCGUUUUAAUCGAUGGGGGGACGCAGUAGGAUAGGCGAAGCGUACGAUUGGAUUGUACGUCAAGCNNNNNNNNNNNNNNNNNNNNNNNNNNNNNNNNNNNNNNNNNNNNNNNNNNNNNNNNNNNNNNNNNNNNNNNNNNNNNNNNNNNNNNNNNNNNNNNGGUUAGCUUCUGCGAAGCUACGAAUCGAAGCCCCAGUAAACGGCGGCCGUAACUAUAACGGUCCUAAGGUAGCGAAAUUCCUUGUCGGGUAAGUUCCGACCCGCACGAAAGGCGUAACGAUUUGGGCACUGUCUCAACGAGAGACUCGGUGAAAUCAUAGUACCUGUGAAGAUGCAGGUUACCCGCGACAGGACGGAAAGACCCCGUGGAGCUUUACUGUAGCCUGAUAUUGAAAUUCGGCACAGCUUGUACAGGAUAGGUAGGAGCCUUUGAAACGUGAGCGCUAGCUUACGUGGAGGCGCUGGUGGGAUACUACCCUAGCUGUGUUGGCUUUCUAACCCGCACCACUUAUCGUGGUGGGAGACAGUGUCAGGCGGGCAGUUUGACUGGGGCGGUCGCCUCCUAAAAGGUAACGGAGGCGCUCAAAGGUUCCCUCAGAAUGGUUGGAAAUCAUUCAUAGAGUGUAAAGGCAUAAGGGAGCUUGACUGCGAGACCUACAAGUCGAGCAGGGUCGAAAGACGGACUUAGUGAUCCGGUGGUUCCGCAUGGAAGGGCCAUCGCUCAACGGAUAAAAGCUACCCCGGGGAUAACAGGCUUAUCUCCCCCAAGAGUUCACAUCGACGGGGAGGUUUGGCACCUCGAUGUCGGCUCAUCGCAUCCUGGGGCUGUAGUCGGUCCCAAGGGUUGGGCUGUUCGCCCAUUAAAGCGGUACGCGAGCUGGGUUCAGAACGUCGUGAGACAGUUCGGUCCCUAUCCGUCGUGGGCGUAGGAAAUUUGAGAGGAGCUGUCCUUAGUACGAGAGGACCGGGAUGGACAUACCUCUGGUGUACCAGUUGUCGUGCCAACGGCAUAGCUGGGUAGCUAUGUAUGGACGGGAUAAGUGCUGAAAGCAUCUAAGCAUGAAGCCCCCCUCAAGAUGAGAUUUCCCAACUUCGGUUAUAAGAUCCCUCAAAGAUGAUGAGGUUAAUAGGUUCGAGGUGGAAGCGUGGUGACACGUGGAGCUGACGAAUACUAAUCGAUCGAAGACUUAAUCAA
RNAcentral lists this ribosomal RNA (2645 nucleotides) under Staphylococcus haemolyticus. Its description in RNAcentral is "23S ribosomal RNA". It matches the Rfam family "Bacterial large subunit ribosomal RNA". Lineage: Bacteria; Bacillati; Bacillota; Bacilli; Caryophanales; Staphylococcaceae. The record is from RNAcentral.